AUUGAACGCUGGCGGCAGGCUUAACACAUGCAAGUCGAGCGGGGGAAGGUAGCUUGCUACCGGACCUAGCGGCGGACGGGUGAGUAAUGCUUAGGAAUCUGCCUAUUAGUGGGGGACAACAUCUCGAAAGGGAUGCUAAUACCGCAUACGUCCUACGGGAGAAAGCAGGGGAUCUUCGGACCUUGCGCUAAUAGAUGAGCCUAAGUCGGAUUAGCUAGUUGGUGGGGUAAAGGCCUAUCAAGGCGACGAUCUGUAGCGGGUCUGAGAGGAUGGUCCGCCACACUGGGACUGAGACACAGCCCAGACUCCGACCGGAGGCAGCAGGGGGUAAUAUGUGACAAUGGGGGGAACCCUGAUCCAGCCAUGCCGCGUGUGUGAAGAAGGCCUUAUGGUUGUAAAGCACUUUAAGCGAUGAGGAGGCUACUCUAGUUAAUACCUAGGGAUAGUGGACGUUACUCGCAGAAUAAGCACCGGCUAACUCUGUGCCAGCAGCCGCGGUAA
This 501-nucleotide ribosomal RNA is filed under the name uncultured bacterium. RNAcentral describes it as "partial 16S ribosomal RNA". It matches the Rfam family "Bacterial small subunit ribosomal RNA", at positions 30 to 523 of the family's 1533-position model. The record is from RNAcentral.